Otolemur garnettii (small-eared galago) is the source of this 293-nucleotide non-coding RNA. The record is from Rfam. NCBI's taxonomy places the organism in Eukaryota, Metazoa, Chordata, Mammalia, Primates, Galagidae.
GCCAUGGGUAGUGGCACAUGUCUGUUGUGCCAACUAUUUAGAAAGCUAGGCAGGAGGAUCACUUGAGUGCAAGAGUUCUGGGCUGUAUUGUGCUAUGCUGAUUGGGUGUCCACGCUAGGUUCAUCAUCAAUAUGAUGACCUCCUGGGAGCAGGAGAUCAUCAGGUUGCCUAUCGAGGGGCAAAUUGGCCCACGUUGGAAACUGAUCAAAACUCUUGUGUUGAUCAAUGGUAGGAUCACGCCUGUGAAUAGCCACCACACUCCAGCCUAAGCAACAUGGUGACACUCUGUCUUU